UUUGUACGUGGUGCUGAGGAUCGAACCCGGGCCGCACGCAUGCCAGGCGAGCGCGCUACCGCUUGAGCCACAUCCCCAGCCCGCUUGGAUCACUCUUAAGAGCUACUACUUAUCUUUUACUGCAGGUCCUGGCCUUCUCUGAUAUGGUAUAGAAGUUUAGGAUGUAAUGAGUUCAGGAAGAAAAGCCAGGUGAAGAUUUUGGCACAGGGGUGAAGACUUCUUCAGCACACAAAGUCACAUCAUCUCCAUUGAUCUCAAGAAGAGAGGACAUGCCACCCAGUGAGGGAGCAGAUGGGCAACCACUAAGGUCAUCCACAACUGUAAUGGAGAG
Molecule: non-coding RNA, 331 nt
Organism: Ictidomys tridecemlineatus (thirteen-lined ground squirrel)
Lineage: Eukaryota; Metazoa; Chordata; Mammalia; Rodentia; Sciuridae
Source: RefSeq, a predicted model, not a curated record